UGGGGAAUAUUGCACAAUGGGGGAAACCCUGAUGCAGCAACGCCGCGUGAGUGAAGAAGUAUUUCGGUAUGUAAAGCUCUAUCAGCAGGGAAGAUAAUGACGGUACCUGACUAAGAAGCUCCGGCUAAAUACGUGCCAGCAGCCGCGGUAAUACGUAUGGAGCAAGCGUUAUCCGGAUUUACUGGGUGUAAAGGGUGCGUAGGUGGCAGUGCAAGUCAGAUGUGAAAGGCCGGGGCUCAACCCCGGAGCUGCAUUUGAAACUGCAUAGCUGGAGUACAGGAGAGGCAGGCGGAAUUCCUAGUGUAGCGGUGAAAUGCGUAGAUAUUAGGAGGAACACCAGUGGCGAAGGCGGCCUGCUGGACUGUUACUGACACUGAGGCACGAAAGCGUGGGGAGCAAACAGG
Molecule: ribosomal RNA, 404 nt
Filed under: uncultured Eubacterium sp.
Lineage: Bacteria; Bacillati; Bacillota; Clostridia; Eubacteriales; Eubacteriaceae
Description: bacterial SSU rRNA
Rfam family: Bacterial small subunit ribosomal RNA
Source: RNAcentral